RNAcentral lists this non-coding RNA (21 nucleotides) under Caenorhabditis elegans. The record is from RNAcentral. Lineage: Eukaryota; Metazoa; Nematoda; Chromadorea; Rhabditida; Rhabditidae.
UGUGAUCAUCAGUCAAUACCC